This 450-nucleotide ribosomal RNA is filed under the name uncultured bacterium. Its description in RNAcentral is "bacterial SSU rRNA". It matches the Rfam family "Bacterial small subunit ribosomal RNA", at positions 355 to 796 of the family's 1533-position model. The record is from RNAcentral.
UGGGGAAUAUUGGGCAAUGGGGGCAACCCUGACCCAGCGACGCCGCGUGGGUGAUGAAGGCCUUCGGGUCGUAAAGCCCUGUCGGGAGGAACGAAUGAGCGGACGGCAAAGAGCCGUCGGCUGUGACGGUACCUCCGAAGGAAGCACCGGCCAACUCCGUGCCAGCAGCCGCGGUAAGACGGAGGGUGCGAGCGUUGCUCGGAAUCACUGGGCGUAAAGGGUGCGUAGGCGGUCUCUCAAGUCGGGCGUGAAAGCCCACGGCUCAGCCGUGGAAGGGCGCUCGAAACGGAGAGGCUGGAGUGCCGGAGGGGAGAGUGGAAUUCCCGGUGUAGCGGUGAAAUGCGUAGAUAUCGGGAGGAAUACCGGUGGCGAAAGCGACUCUCUGGACGGCAACUGACGCUGAGGCACGAAAGCGUGGGGAGCAAACAGGAUUAGAUACCCGUGUAGUCC